Molecule: long non-coding RNA, 3433 nt
Organism: Equus caballus (horse)
Lineage: Eukaryota; Metazoa; Chordata; Mammalia; Perissodactyla; Equidae
Source: Ensembl
GGCAGAGGGCUCCACUGGGUUGGCAAGCACCCCUUCCCCCAGGGCCGUGGGGAGACCCAGGUGGCCCCUCUGUGCCCCUGCAGAAGUCAGGGCUCUGGGCUGGGGCUGGGGCUGGGGCUGGGAUUCCAUCGUCCUUAGUCAAAACCCAGGGCUGCCACUUUCUGCUCCCAGCCUUGAUCAAGCCCCUGGUCAAGCCAGUUUCCCAGCUGUAGAUGCGUAGCCGUCAAGCCUCCUGGCCCUGGGGGUCCUAAGGAAAGCUACGUGGCCUCCUCAGCCCCCAGGGCAAGACGGAGGAGGUGCCACGUCCAAGCUACCCCAGCCCCGCCCACUGGCCUUUCCACCUGCAGAGCUCCCCACCCCUCCCCACCCUGGUGGCACCCACACAGCCAGGGGGCUGCCAGGGAGGGACAGCUUGUUUCCAGGCUGUGUGUGAGAGUGUGCGGCCAGUGAGUGGCCAUGAGUGACCAAGACUCGUGCCCAGACCUAAGGGAGGGCUGACUCUAGAGCAAUCUCUUGAUGCCUGUCCUGGCCCAGGACCUGGUCCUACAGUCAGGGCCACCUGCGGAGGGAGGGGACAUUUCUCCCCUUGGCUGGAGUCAGAAACACGCCUACAGACACAUACACAUGCAACCGGACACACACACACACGCAGACCCACAGACAUAAGGACACUCAGAUGCAGGGUCAGACCUACGUGCACACACGCACACAUAGACAUGCACAUACAUAUUCACAGACACACACACAGGCAGACACACUCGUACGUAAACAUACACACAUGUACAACUCGCCCUGCUCCUGGGAGUCGCCCCAGGCCCACUCUUUCCUCCCUCAAGGCCUCGGGGACGCGUUCAUUAAUUGGUCCAGGGUCCCAGCACUGAGACAGUUGGCUCUUCAUUAUUUUCCUCACAGGCUCCGGCUCCCUGAGGAGCCGCCCUGGCCCCGGGGGACUCUGGGAUUAAACAGAGGCCCGGUGCUGUCUCCUGGUGCAGGAAGCAGCUCCCAGCCUGAACCCUCCUCCUGGCCCCCCUGCACUCCCCUGCAGGCUGCCUCGGGAGGAGCAGGGGCCCAGGGCUCCGCAGGGUCAGGGCGUUGCUCAUUUCCCCGGGGACUGUGACACACGCCCAUGCACACGCACAUGCAUGCACCCUCCUCGUCCCUGUGUUGGUGGCUCUGAGACCAGCACAGGCAAGGUCAAGGAGACCCGGACUCACCCUGAGGACUUCUGGGAGGGCAGGCAAACUAGCCCAAGUGUGGAGUCCGCUGCCCGCAGCCUGGCCAGCCCAGCCUUCAACCCCCUGGGAUCUGUGGAAUGGGAUCACCAGGCCCAGUUCAUCCUGCAGCCACCCAACCUGGUCACCGCGGGAAAGUCCCAGCAGGGAGCAGGAACCCCAAAGGGAGGAGGAGGCUGGGAGACGGUCAGCCGAGAUGCUGCGUUCAGGCUCCAACGUGCUGUGAUGGUGGCGCUGCUGGGCAGAUGGUGAAGAACAGGGACUCGUCCCACUGGGGGACCUCCACAGGCAGGUGGAUGGCAGCCAGCAAUGGGCCAGCUGCAGCCAGGAGUCCAGACAAAGGCACGGCUCAGGCCCCUGCCCCGCAGCCAAGGCUGAGGGCAGGGAGGGGUCGAGGCCGCGGCAGGGAGCUCCAGCCAGGGCACAGCUGCAGCUCUGGGGGAGGGCUGGGCUGGGCAGAGCUGGGCACCAGCCCCUCCGCCACACACUGGGCCCGUGCUCUCCCUCCUUGCCCCCCGCCACAAGCCCCAGGGCUGGGUCCUCGGUCAGCACGCCGUCUGCCCAUAUCUGGCCAGGCCCAACGACGGCCAGGGUUCUGACAGUUGCUGUCCAGGGUCUGCUUGGGGUGAGCCCUGGUCCGAAGGCCCCGGAGCAGCACUGGCUGGGGGUCACGGAGUGUGCAGGCCCCGCUGACAUGUGGCACUGCUGGGUCACAGCACGGGAGGCCCGCCAAGCACCCUUGGAUUCGGCUUCAGAACCCUCUAGCCACCCUGAGAUCCCCCACCAGCCCGCCCCCAGCAUUCUGGGGAAGAUCCAGCAAAGAAAGUCCCCCUUUCUCCCCCCUUUUCUGUUUUCUCUCUUGCUGAUUCGUUUUUUUCACAUGGAGAGAACCUGCACAGAUUCAUUUCAGCAAAUACGUAUUGGCCGAUCCUGGGAGCUCUACAAACGCUCUGUGCUCUCUCCAGCCUCUGAGCCUUUGCACAUGCUGUUCCCUGCCCUGAGCCUCUCGCCUCCCCUUGCAUGGAGACCAAGGCCCCAGGGGGAGUCUCCCAGCAAGGACGAGGCAGGAGGGGCUGACGCCCAGAGGCCACUGCCCAGGCCGUGGGAUGGGGCAGCCCUGCCCCACGUAGGCUGCGCUGGCUCCAGGCGAGCAGGGUGCAGGCUAGGCAGGCUGCGGGCCUCCUUGUUACAGGCCGGCCCUGGGGUGGCCUCCAGAGCCUCUUGCCCAGGCUCUCCAUGGUCUGUGGGUCUGAAGUGGGGACAGUCGCCCCCUCACUCCCUCGUGCUCUUGCUCGCUCCACUCAACCUCACUUCUCACUCUGCGCCCUGUGCUCCCAGCACCAGGCAGUGGGACACACAGAUGCCCAAGGAGAAGGCCAUCUCUACAGUCCCAGCUGCUCCCGACUGACCCCCACCCACAGGCUUCCUCUCAGGGGUCAUCCCGCCAAGCUCUCUGUGCCCAGGCCCGCUGUCCCCCCAGCGUGCCUGGGCUCCUUGGGCACUGUCCACAAAGCACUGUUGGGGGAAGGGACAGAGGACCCCAUGGGACCCCCAGGGGCAGCUGCAGGUGAUGACUGUGGCUUUGCCUGCCCGCUACUCUUGCCCCUCCAUUCACCUCUACCCUCCACGGGGUGGGGUCUGAAUGAUGUAGGCCCUCGCUGCUGCAAGCUCAGGCACUGCUGUCGGUGUCAGGCCCAAUGGGGUUAGUUCUGGGGUUUGAUGGCAGCCCCUCUUCCUCCUAGGGAGUAGGGGGGUAGAUGAGAGCAUAGGAUAGCAGCCUAGAGCUGCAGGGAGAGAUAUUAGGGAGACAUUCCCUGCUGGGAAUGAGGUGGACGCGAGGAAAAGACAGAUGGAAAGAAGUAGCCGUUCUUUGAGCUCCUGGAUGCAGCUGUGUCUGAAACCCACCCCCUGGACUUUUCAGCCAUGAGCAACAAUAAAUACUCCUUUUCUUUAGGGCUUUUUGAGUUUUUUUGUCAUUUGCAGCCAAACUACAGCAACUAUAUCUCUGGUUCUCCUGUCCCCUCUCUCCUUCCUGCCACCUGGGCCCUGGGCCCAAAUCAGCUCUGUCCCUAAAGGCAGGGAAAUCAGACUCAGCUUUUAUUCCAAAUCAGGGGCCUCGGGAGCCAUUCUGAUCCUACCCAGGCCCCGAGCUCAUCAGGACGCACCCAGAACUGGCUCAGAAUGUCACCAGGAAAAAAGAG